RNAcentral lists this long non-coding RNA (1304 nucleotides) under Equus caballus (horse). RNAcentral describes it as "lncRNA (ENSECAG00000050642.1)". Lineage: Eukaryota; Metazoa; Chordata; Mammalia; Perissodactyla; Equidae. The record is from RNAcentral.
CUCAAGAUUCCCUGACACCUCCAUCCUUUCCAGAAACGGCUUUGGGAUCCACAGAGGAGGGAAGUCUUUGUAUUCCUAAGAAUAUUGAUAGUAUACAUUGAAAAAUUGACUUACGCAGACUUUGUGACAAUGGAGGAAUAAUGACAAACAAGGUAUACAUUUGAAGGGAGACACAAACACUUCUUUUGAAAGAUGAGGAAAGUCAGAGUAAAGAAGAUUAAGUAUGCAUCUGAAAGGAAAUUCAUUAUUCCCAUGGUUUAUAAAUUCUAGAAGAAGAGAUAUAAAACUCUUUUGAUGAUGGCCAGGCUGAUUUUUCUCAUCACUCUUGCCUCAGCGUAUGGUCCAAUCUGCACAUGGAUAGCUAUAUAUUUGUUAGGCUAUAAUUACACUGUAAGGGACACAAGGGAGGUUACGAUAGUUUAACUGCUCUCCCUACACUGACUCUGACCACCUUCUCUGCCUUCUCUACGCUGUAACCAGAGCAAUCUUUUUAAGGUAAAUAAUCUAAUCACCCCUCAUUAGUGGUUUCCCCUUGCACUCAGAAUAAAACCAACAUUUUUUAGCUUGGCUUAUAGGGCCCUGGGUGAUUCACUGCCUGCCUGUCUCUCCAGGUUUAUUUUGGACCGUUUUUCAUUUCUUUCUUUUGCUUCAGGCACAAUGUUCUUCUCUCAGUUUCUACAGAAUUUCACCCUCCUUCCUGCUACAAGCCUUUGCCCAGGCCGUGUUUUCUGAUUGGAAUAUCCUCCCCACUUCCCACCUUCCGUAUGCUGCUGUUGGAGGAAAUAAUGGAGAGGACAUGAUGGCUGGUUGACCCUGGAGCUGGACCCAGGCAAUCGGAGGCUCCUCCCUCCCCUGUCCUUGGGAUGCAUGAUCCGCCCACCAUUCAAACACGAGGCGCUGCUUCAGGAACGCAGCCUUGAGAGAGUAAGGUGUUGUUGGGAUCAUCUGGACUGAAUACAUGACUGAACCCACUUAAGCCUCCAUAAAAGCUCUUGAGAUGCUGGCGGUCAGGUGCAGAGACCUAUUUCUCUCGUGGCCGCCCAAGACAAGCCUCGUAAUCUGGGCCUUUAUUUCAUAUACAGAUAUAACAGUGGACACAUCAGAAGAGGCAUAGGAGAAUUUGCUUCUGAAUAUUACAGUUGACUUUGCCUGCCUUGUAAAGCUGUUUUGCAGCCAGGAUAGAUCAUUUCCACUCUUCUUCAUUUCAAAUCCAUUUGUCAAACUCCAGCUGGACUCCUGGAAGCCCAGUUCUGUUCCAGCUCUUGAACCUGUCCCAGUGGGGACAUGGGAAGGAGAAGCCCCAG